GGACAGUUUCUUUGUAAAUCCGCAAUUCUCUCUCUCCCGAUAACGUAGAAAGGGGAGGGAUCUGCAAAUCCGCAAUUCUCUCUCUCCCGAUAACGCCACAACACAGUUUCUUUGUAUUUCACAGUACAAUCAAGUGUAACAAUAGAAAAUUAAGCUGUGCCAAUUUCCUUACACUUAUGUUAGCUCAACAACUAAAAUUCUUGGCUAUCUGUUGAGAAGCUAGCUUCCACUGUGCUUUGGAAACUCUCCACUCCAUGCAGCUAUACUGAAACGGAAUCCUGAUUGUCUUAUGUAGGUGUUCAUUCAAUUAUUUCUUUGAUUCUUGCUUUCAUUUUGGACCGUGCUGCUCAUCAUCACAGG
This is a long non-coding RNA of Glycine soja, 360 nucleotides long. RefSeq lists it as uncharacterized. Lineage: Eukaryota; Viridiplantae; Streptophyta; Magnoliopsida; Fabales; Fabaceae. The transcript is spliced from 4 exons. The record is from RefSeq and is a predicted model, not a curated record.